RNAcentral lists this ribosomal RNA (274 nucleotides) under uncultured bacterium. Its description in RNAcentral is "partial 16S ribosomal RNA". It matches the Rfam family "Archaeal small subunit ribosomal RNA", at positions 473 to 747 of the family's 1478-position model. The record is from RNAcentral.
AAACCAGCACCUCAAGUGGUCAGGAUGAUUAUUGGGCCUAAAGCAUCCGUAGCCGGCUCUGUAAGUUUUCGGUUAAAUCUGUACGCUUAACGUACAGGCUGCUGGGAAUACUGCAGAGCUAGGGAGUGGGAGAGGUAAACGGUACUCGGGAGGAAGUGGUAAAAUGCUUUGAUCUCUCGAUGACCACCUGUGGCGAAGGCGGUCUACCAGAACACGUCCGACGGUGAGGGAUGAAAGCUGGGGGAGCAAACCGGAUUAGAAACCCUGGUAGUCC